Molecule: ribosomal RNA, 408 nt
Filed under: uncultured bacterium
Lineage: Bacteria
Description: partial 16S ribosomal RNA
Rfam family: Bacterial small subunit ribosomal RNA
Source: RNAcentral
AGUGAACGCUGGCGGCGUGCCUAAUACAUGCAAGUCGAACGGAGUGGCGCACGGGUGAGUAAUGUAUAGCUAAUCUGCCCUAUACUAGAGGACAACAGUUGGCAACGGCUGCUAAUACUCUAUAGUUUAGGAGGAGGGUAUAUUGUAUCAGCUAGUUGGUGAGGUAAUGGCUCACCAAGGGUAUGACGCAUAACUGGUCGGAGAGGAUGAUCAGUAACACUGGAAGUGAGACACGGUCCAGACUCCUACCGGAAGGAGCAGUAGUGAAUAGUACUCAAGGGGGGAAACCCUGAAGCAGCAACGGCGCGUGGAGGAUGACACUUGUCGGAGCGUAAACUCCGUUUGUUAGGGAAGCGGUACCUAACGAAUAAGCACCGGCUAACUCCGUGCCAGCAGCCGCGGUAAUUC